UCUCCCCUAGCUCAGCUGGUUAGAGCGUUCGACUGUUAAACUUCCUGUUUCGGAAGCCGCAAUCGAGAGGUCGACAGUUCAAUCCUGUCGGGGAGAG
This is a non-coding RNA of Coniochaeta pulveracea, 97 nucleotides long. Lineage: Eukaryota; Fungi; Ascomycota; Sordariomycetes; Coniochaetales; Coniochaetaceae. The record is from the annotation of a GenBank genome assembly.